RGGGGGGUGGCUACCCUGCAGUCGACGAAAACGCUUCCUUCGGGAAGCUAGUACAGUGGCGAACGGGUGAGUAACGCGUGGGAAUCUACCCGGUAGUGGGGGAUAACCCUCCGAAAGGAGGGCUAAUACCGCCUACGUCCUACGGGAUAAAGAUGGCCUCUUUACAAUGCUAUCGCUUCCGGAUGAGCCCGCGUCCUAUUAGCUAGUUGGUAAGGUAACGGCUUACCAAGGCAACGAUGGGUAGCCGGUCUGAGAGGACGAACGGCCACACUGGAACUGAGACACGGUCCAGACUCCUACGGGAGGCAGCAGUGGGGAAUAUUGCGCAAUGGGGGAAACCCUGACGCAGCAACGCCGCGUGAGUGAUGAAGGUCUUCGGAUUGUAAAGCUCUGUUUUCUAGGACGAUAAUGACGGUACUAGAAGAGGAAGCCACGGCUAACUACGUGCCAGCAGCCGCGGUAAUACGUAGGUGGCGAGCGUUGUCCGGAUUUACUGGGCGUAAAGGGUGCGUAGGCG
This 517-nucleotide ribosomal RNA is filed under the name uncultured bacterium. RNAcentral's name for it is "bacterial SSU rRNA". It matches the Rfam family "Bacterial small subunit ribosomal RNA", at positions 38 to 577 of the family's 1533-position model. The record is from RNAcentral.